RNAcentral lists this ribosomal RNA (1035 nucleotides) under Mycobacterium sp. RNAcentral describes it as "partial 23S ribosomal RNA". It matches the Rfam family "Bacterial large subunit ribosomal RNA", at positions 1898 to 2925 of the family's 2925-position model. The record is from RNAcentral. Lineage: Bacteria; Bacillati; Actinomycetota; Actinomycetes; Mycobacteriales; Mycobacteriaceae.
GGUGAAGCGGAGAAUUUAAGCCCCAGUAAACGGCGGUGGUAACUAUAACCAUCCUAAGGUAGCGAAAUUCCUUGUCGGGUAAGUUCCGACCUGCACGAAUGGCGUAACGACUUCCCAACUGUCUCAACCAUAGACUCGGCGAAAUUGCACUACGAGUAAAGAUGCUCGUUACGCGCGGCAGGACGAAAAGACCCCGGGACCUUCACUACAACUUGGUAUUGGUGUUCGGUACGGUUUGUGUAGGAUAGGUGGGAGACUGUGAAACCUCGACGCUAGUUGAGGUGGAGUCGUUGUUGAAAUACCACUCUGAUCGUAUUGGACACCUAACGUCGAACCGUAUAUCCGGUUCACGGACAGUGCCUGGUGGGUAGUUUAACUGGGGCGGUUGCCUCCUAAAAUGUAACGGAGGCGCCCAAAGGUUCCCUCAACCUGGACGGCAAUCAGGUGUUGAGUGUAAAUGCACAAGGGAGCUUGACUGCGAGACUUACAAGUCAAGCAGGGACGAAAGUCGGGAUUAGUGAUCCGGCACCUCUGAGUGGAAGGGGUGUCGCUCAACGGAUAAAAGGUACCCCGGGGAUAACAGGCUGAUCUUCCCCAAGAGUCCAUAUCGACGGGAUGGUUUGGCACCUCGAUGUCGGCUCGUCGCAUCCUGGGGCUGGAGCAGGUCCCAAGGGUUGGGCUGUUCGCCCAUUAAAGCGGCACGCGAGCUGGGUUUAGAACGUCGUGAGACAGUUCGGUCUCUAUCCGCCGCGCGCGUCAGAAACUUGAGGAAACCUGUCCCUAGUACGAGAGGACCGGGACGGACGAACCUCUAGUGCACCAGUUGUCCCACCAGGGGCACUGCUGGAUAGCUACGUUCGGACAGGAUAACCGCUGAAAGCAUCUAAGCGGGAAACCUUCUCCAAGAUCAGGUUUCUCACCCUCUAGGAGGGAUAAGGCCCCCAGCAGAACACUGGAUUGAUAGGCCAGACCUGGAAGCUCAGUAAUGAGUGCAGGGAACUGGCACUAACCGGCCGAAAACUUACCAACACAACC